AGAGUUUGAUCAUGGCUCAGAUUGAACGCUGGCGGCAGGCCUAACACAUGCAAGUCGAACGGUAACAGGAAGAAGCUUGCUUCUUUGCUGACGAGUGGCGGACGGGUGAGUAAUGUCUGGGAAACUGCCUGAUGGAGGGGGAUAACUACUGGAAACGGUAGCUAAUACCGCAUACGUCGCAAGACCAAAGAGGGGGACCUUCGGGCCUCUUGCCAUCGGAUGUGCCCAGAUGGGAUUAGCUAGUAGGUGGGGUAACGGCUCACCUAGGCGACGAUCCCUAGCUGGUCUGAGAGGAUGACCAGCCACACUGGAACUGAGACACGGUCCAGACUCCUACGGGAGGCAGCAGUGGGGAAUAUUGCACAAUGGGCGCAAGCCUGAUGCAGCCAUGCCGCGUGUAUGAAGAAGGCCUUCGGGUUGUAAAGUACUUUCAGCGGGGAGGAAGGGAGUAAAGUUAAUACCUUUGCUCAUUGACGUUACCCGCAGAAGAAGCACCGGCUAACUCCGUGCCAGCAGCCGCGGUAAUACGGAGGGUGCAAGCGUUAAUCGGAAUUACUGGGCGUAAAGCGCACGCAGGCGGUUUGUUAAGUCAGAUGUGAAAUCCCCGGGCUCAACCUGGGAACUGCAUCUGAUACUGGCAAGCUUGAGUCUCGUAGAGGGGGGUAGAAUUCCAGGUGUAGCGGUGAAAUGCGUAGAGAUCUGGAGGAAUACCGGUGGCGAAGGCGGCCCCCUGGACGAAGACUGACGCUCAGGUGCGAAAGCGUGGGGAGCAAACAGGAUUAGAUACCCUGGUAGUCCACGCCGUAAACGAUGUCGACUUGGAGGUUGUGCCCUUGAGGCGUGGCUUCCGGAGCUAACGCGUUAAGUCGACCGCCUGGGGAGCACGGCCGCAAGGUUAAAACUCAAAUGAAUUGACGGGGGCCCGCACAAGCGGUGGAGCAUGUGGUUUAAUUCGAUGCAACGCGAAGAACCUUACCUGGUCUUGACAUCCACAGAACUUUCCAGAGAUGGAUUGGUGCCUUCGGGAACUGUGAGACAGGUGCUGCAUGGCUGUCGUCAGCUCGUGUUGUGAAAUGUUGGGUUAAGUCCCGCAACGAGCGCAACCCUUAUCUUUUGUUGCCAGCGGUCCGGCCGGGAACUCAAAGGAGACUGCCAGUGAUAAACUGGAGGAAGGUGGGGAUGACGUCAAGUCAUCAUGGCCCCUUACGACCAGGGCUACACACGUGCUACAAUGGCGCAUACAAAGAGAAGCGACCUCGCGAGAGCAAGCGGACCUCAUAAAGUGCGUCGUAGUCCGGAUUGGAGUCUGCAACUCGACUCCAUGAAGUCGGAAUCGCUAGUAAUCGUGGAUCAGAAUGCCACGGUGAAUACGUUCCCGGGCCUUGUACACACCGCCCGUCACACCAUGGGAGUGGGUUGCAAAAGAAGUAGGUAGCUUAACCUUCGGGAGGGCGCUUACCACUUUGUGAUUCAUGACUGGGGUGAAGUCGUAACAAGGUAACCGUAGGGGAACCUGCGGUUG
RNAcentral lists this ribosomal RNA (1522 nucleotides) under metagenome. RNAcentral's name for it is "bacterial SSU rRNA". It matches the Rfam family "Bacterial small subunit ribosomal RNA". The record is from RNAcentral.